GACGAACGCUGGCGGCAUGCCUAAUACAUGCCAGUCGAACGCUGAAGCACUCUGCUUGCAGAGUGCGGAUGAGUGGCGAACGGGUGAGUAACACGUGGGAAAUCUGCCUAUAAGAGGGGGAUAACAUUCGGAAACGGAUGCUAAUACCGCAUAUAUUCUUGGACCGCCUGGUCCUUGAAAGAAAGACGGCUUUGCUGUCGCUUAUAGAUGAUCCCGCGGCGUAUUAGUUAGUUGGUGGGGUAAAGGCCUACCAAGACAAUGAUACGUAGCCGACCUGAGAGGGUGAUCGGCCACACUGGGACUGAGACACGGCCCAGACUCCUACGGGAGGCAGCAGUAGGGAAUCUUCCACAAUGGGCGAAAGCCUGAUGGAGCAAUGCCGCGUGAAUGAAGAAGGUCUUCGGAUCGUAAAGUUCUGUUAUUAGAGAAGAACAAGUCAAGGAGUAACUGUCUUGACUUUGACGGUACCUAACCAGAAAGUCACGGCUAACUACGUG
RNAcentral lists this ribosomal RNA (497 nucleotides) under uncultured bacterium. RNAcentral describes it as "partial 16S ribosomal RNA". It matches the Rfam family "Bacterial small subunit ribosomal RNA", at positions 28 to 507 of the family's 1533-position model. The record is from RNAcentral.